This 40616-nucleotide long non-coding RNA is filed under the name Triticum aestivum (bread wheat). RNAcentral describes it as "long non-coding RNA (TAES_LNC018810)". The stretch from base 12094 to 12180 matches the Rfam family "MIR1120/MIR1122 microRNA precursor family". Lineage: Eukaryota; Viridiplantae; Streptophyta; Magnoliopsida; Poales; Poaceae. The record is from RNAcentral.
UAUGUUGAGGUGUCUUUUUAUUAUGCAUGGUUGCAUGUUGUGGCGGGCCUUUCUCCAUGCAUGUUGAAUGAUGAGUUGGCAUAUUUGCAUGUUGAGAGAAAUAGGUUAUUGGGGGCUAGCUAUUUAGAUAUAGAAGAUCCNNNNNNNNNNNNNNNNNNNNNNNNNNNNNNNNNNNNNNNNNNNNNNNNNNNNNNNNNNNNNNNNNNNNNNNNNNNNNNNNNNNNNNNNNNNNNNNNNNNNAAAAAAAAAGUCUUUGGACAAAGAUUUGCGUGACAAACUUGACUUGCAACAUGCAUUAGAAAACAAAAUCAAAUAAAAUAAUACAUCCAAAGAAUUCUUGGUAUAAACGCAAAAUGAAGAUCAUUUAGAACGCUAUUCAAUCAAAACUUCCAGCUAGCUCUGCCGUUCACAUUGGCAUGCAUGCCCAGUAGUGACUAGUGAGUACACAGCAGCAGCAGCAGCAGUUGUAGAUACAACGAAUUUAAGGGAUGAUGUAUUAGAUGCAUGGGCCAUCCUACAAUUUCCUUUAUUUAUGCUAUAAAAUAGUCAAGAGUCAACAUAACACAUACCACGCACAAAUUAUGAUCUAGAGCGCAUGGUUGGCCCUCCUUUUUCGGGUCAUGGGACCACCCAUGCGAUUCUAAGUUUACCUUAAUAUCGCACAAGUGGAGCUCCUGAUCCACCCUCCAAAAAUAGAGAACAAUAAAAAAAUAUUUUUCAAUGGUUCUCUAUUUUAUUUAUUUUCAGUUUACCAAAUAUAUGAGGAACACAAGGCAACAGAUAGAGAUUUCAACAAAAAAAAAUCUAAUUAUGUAAAGCUAAUAACCAGCUUUUCUUUUAUAAUUUUGAGUUUUAUCAAAUAAACCCCUCUGCUAAGCCAAUUAACAUUUUCUUUUACUUUGGAGGAAUUCAGCCUCAGAAUUAAUUGGUCUUCCAACUGGCAUAAAUGUAGUGGAAUGCUUUAAGAGUACAACAAGUCUGCCAAUAAGGCAGCAUAUAAUUUAACGAUGGUUAUGUAAAUAGGCAAGACAUAUGUAUUUGGCCACAGAUGGAAAAUAGGUCUCCACAUUGAAAUGCUUAGCGGAGGAAAGGCCCAUGCCCAUCAGUUCAGUAUACGGAAAUUAUAAAGUAGGUGCAGCGUUGUAGGAUGGAAAAACGCCUCCCGGGUCGCUCCUAGGGUGACUCCGGAGGCCACCCCUGCCGCUGGCCCUAGGGUACCUUAAAUCGCUGCCCUUCCCGCGCCUCCGCCGGAGGAGGCCGUCGGAGCUGACGGCGGCGGCGGGGCUCUUCCUGUCCGACUUUCUCCUUCCCUCCCCGCGGUUGGCUGGCCUCCUCCUGCCGCCAGAAUGGGACGCUUGCGCCUGGAUCUCGUGCCCUGUGGGUGCUGCAGUGUCAAGGCAUGACCAUCCAUGUGUGCCACCGGUUUGUGUCCUCUGAUGAUCCGUACUGGUGGUGGUGUGGUGCGGCGCCUGGAACUGUCUCGACCAAGAUCUGAAGGUGUGCGUCGCCGACGGGCUGGAUCCGGCGGGAUCUAGCAUGUGGUAGCUUGCAGGCGGCUGGUGCUGGCGUGGAUCGGCAUGAUCUGGCGCUUGGGAGCGGUGCUCUGAAGGUGCAUGAGGCGGCGGAUGGCUAAGUCUCACUUCUGCUUCACCAGGCGGCUUUCAGGAGACGUGCCUCCUUUGUGGGCGUUUGGGCAGCAAAUGGUCAACUUGUGAGUACAACAACACUACAAGAAAUAUGCCAACUUGUGACCUUCUCUUAGUGACUCCAGCUGAAUUGGUCAUAAAUCCACAGUCAUUUCGUUUGGAAGGGCUCAAACCCUGAAAUUGCCUUACACCAAAUGGUCAUAAAGCAGACAAGAGUGGUCGACGACCUUAUUUCUACCUGAUUGGGACCAAUAUAAAUGGUCAUGAGGUUGUGAACGUGGAUGCAUUUGUACUUAAUGUGUCGCUCAAGGUGGGUUUGGGCCUCGGUGGAAUGAGGCCACCUCCUUUUUAAAAAAAAUCCGUGUGCCAUGUAUGCCUCGGCCCAUCCAGGAAGAAAUGUGGGAUGCCCUCAUAUUACUAAAAAAACGUAUAUUCAGCCCAACAAAAAUGUGAAAAUAACAAGUUUUUCAUUAUUACCAUUUGGUAAGGAUGGUCAAUUAUGUGGAAAAAAAGUUUUCAUUAUUGUCUAAAAAUCAGGUUUUUCCUUAUAGAAAAAAAUCUCGAAACCAAUUAAACAAUAUAAAAUUAUAAGAAUAGGAAAAUAAUAAACUACUUCGUGAAUCUUACUAUACGGCUUAGCAAUUAGAAAACUAAAUGUGUAAUUCAAAAAAAAAUUAAUGUUAUGCCUAUUUCAAAAAAUGUAACCAUGUGUUUAAAAAACUAAAUGUGUGUAUUAGAAAAGUUCCAUGCAUAUAAAAAUGAUAAUCAUAAAUAAGAUUAGAUAUGUAUAAAAAAUAGUCAUAGGUACGUAUAUAUGGAAUUUUACAAUAUAUGAAAAGUAGAUAACAAAAAAAGAUUUUUUCAAAAUGUGAAUCANNNNNNNNNNNNNNNNNNNNNNNNNNNNNNNNNNNNNNNNNNNNNNNNNNNNNNNNNNNNNNNNNNNNNNNNNNNNNNNNNNNNNNNNNNNNNNNNNNNNUAAGGUGUAAAUCGGGAUGCAAUGUUCCUUCUCCUGCAAAAGGAUUAGCUAGCAGUUUCUCUAUCAUACCCGAAGGAAUUUCAAAGUAAACAUUUUCUAUAGGUUCAGUAGUUUGAUGAGCAACUCUUUGCUCUACUGGUAGGGGUGAAGAUACCCCGAACAAGCCCCUCAAAGGAUUAGUUUCCAUAGUAACAAGUGACAAAAAAUUUCAGCACACUAUAUAAAUGUUUCCUUACCAAGUUCCGCUCACCAAAGGCGCUUCACUCCCCGGCAAACGGCGCCAGAAAAGAGUCUUGAUGACCCACAAGUAUAGGGGAUCUAUCGUAGUCCUUUCGAUAAGUAAGAGUGUCGAACCCAACAAGGAGAAGAAGGAAAUGACAAGCGGUUUUUGGUAAGGUUUUCUCUGCAAGCACUGAAAUUGUAGAUAAUAGAUAGUUUUGUGAUAAGAUAAUUUGUAACGAGUAACAAGCAAUGAAAGUAAAUAAGGUGCAUCAAGGUGGCCCAAUACUUUUUGUAGCAAAGGACAAUCCUGGACAACUUCUUAUAAUGAGAAAAGCGCUCCCGAGGACACAUGGGAAUUAUCGUCAAGCUACUUUCAUCAUGCUCAUAUCAUUCGCGUUCAGUACUUUGAUAAUUUGAUAUGUGGGUGGACCGGUGCUUGGGUACUGCCCUUACUUGGAUAAGCAUCCCACUUAUGAUUAACUCCUACUGCAAGCAUCCGCAACUACAAGAGAAGUAUUAAGGUAAACCUAACCACAACAUGAAACAUAUGGAUCCAAAUCAGCCCCUUACGAAGCAACACAUAAACUAGGGUUUAAGCUUCUAUCACUCUAGCAACCCAUAAUCUACUUAUUACUUCCCAAUUCCUUCCUCUAGGCCCAAAUAAUGGUGAAGUGUCAUGUAGUCGAUGUUCAUAUAACACCACUAGAGGAGAAACAACAUACAUCUCAUCAAAAUAUCGAACAAAUACCAAAUUCACAUGACUACUAACAGCAAGACUUCACCCAUGUCCUUAGGAACGAACAUAACUACUCAGAAAGCAUAUUCAUGUUCAUAAUCAGAGGAGUAAUAAUAUGCAUAAAGGGUAUGAACAUAUAAUCUUCCACCAAGUAAACCAAUUAACAUCAACCACAAGGAGUAUUCAACAAUACUAGCAACCCAUAGGUACCAAUUUGUGGUUUUGAUACAAGAUUGGAUACAAGAGAUGAACUAGGGUUUGGAGAGGAGAUGGUGCUGGUGAAGAUGUUGAUGGAGAUUGACCCCCUCCCGAUGAGAGGAUCGUUGGUGAUGAUGAUGGUGAUGAUUUCCCCCUCCCGGAGGAAAGUUUCCCCAGCAGAACAGCUCUGCCGGAGCCCUAGAUUGGUUCCGCCAAGAUUCCGCCUCAUGGCAACGGAAUUUCGUCUCGUGAGCUUGCCUCUCAUUUUUUCCAAGAUAAAACACCUCAUAUAGCAGAAGAUGGGCACCAGGGGCCACCAGGGGCCCAGGAGAAAGGGGAGCGCCCUGUAGGGGGAGUGCCCCCCACCCUCCUGGCCAGGGUGUGGGCCCCCUUAGGUACUUUAUUUGCCCAAUAUUUCUUAUUAAAUCCAAAAAUGACUUUCNNNNNNNNNNNNNNNNNNNNNNNNNNNNNNNNNNNNNNNNNNNNNNNNNNNNNNNNNNNNNNNNNNNNNNNNNNNNNNNNNNNNNNNNNNNNNNNNNNNNUCCGGUUAAACUUGAAUGCAAUAAGCUGAGCCAUAUUAAAAUAAAAUGAUGCAACUACAAUGCAUGGUACCAACAUGAGCAUGGAUGAGUAACAUCACUAUUAAUCAUAUUAACAACAUUAAACCAUUUAUCCAAAUGAGCAUGACAUACUGACGAGCAUGAAUAUCAUGAGUAUAACACUACACAUAAGCAUAGCAUGGCCACUAGCACCGGAAAUAAAUAUCAUGCAAGAACUUAACGGUAAUACUACCAAGUAAGCAUAUAACUAGCUAGAUGUAAAGGAACAUGUAUAUCAACGGUACUCGGUAACAGACAAAAGUCAUGCACCAAAGAACAUGACCAACACCAACAUGUACUACUACAAGCAUGUCACACGAAAGUAAUACUAGCAAGAAUACAUGAUAACCAGGUGCAUACACAUGGCAUGAAGAUGGACAUGAAACUAUAAGCAGUACCGAAACAACGAUAACAGUUGCAGAUAAACAAGAACUUAUUAAAUAUUCAAGUAAAAAACCAUGGCUACUGCAUGCUAUCAUGCAAGUGGUUGUCGUGGCUUGCUUGGGGGUGAAGAAACCAUCGGGGAGAAGUGCGUAAAGUUCACAAAAAGAAUCGCUGGAAAGGCUUCUUCCUCAGGAGGGGCUGAUUUGAGACAAGGGCACAAAGGUCAUUUCUAUUAUGUGAACACAUAGUGAAAAUGGUAUGAACAGAACGGGCCGACGAGACGACGUCGUAGGCUUUAGAAGCACCUUAUUUGGGGUUACAAGCAAAAAGUUGUGAGGGUUUGACUGUUGAUGNNNNNNNNNNNNNNNNNNNNNNNNNNNNNNNNNNNNNNNNNNNNNNNNNNNNNNNNNNNNNNNNNNNNNNNNNNNNNNNNNNNNNNNNNNNNNNNNNNNNAACAGUCAAACUUGAACAACGGUUGGCCAAGUCAUGGUGCCACCUAAUCGAUCUGACCAGUGCAACCACAUUUUCCUUUAUGGGAAGGCCUUAUUGUGGUCUAUUGUCAUGCCUCUCGCCGGUGUCUCCAACUAGGAAAGGUUAUGCACGGGCACUACCUUGGCCGGGUAGGACAGCAUAAGCCUUGUGUUCUCGAGUUGUUUGCGCGCUUUUGGCCCCGUUUGGGACCGUUUAUGUUUUGCCACGACAGUGGCCAUUGGGUGUCAUGAGGUGACACGGGGCCACCCAUGACUUAGCCCAAAGGGGAGUUUGUCGGAGUGGCUGGGAGAGUGUGAUGGCAAUAGAUCGGAUUUGUCAGAACAUAGUUGGUACACCCGAAUGGGAGCGCGAGGCCUUGGGUUCCGUGGUGUGGGUAUAGUGUCACUAGUAGAAAACAAGGCUUUGGUUCAGGCCUGGCCAGCCCAUUAGUCCUGGUUCUNNNNNNNNNNNNNNNNNNNNNNNNNNNNNNNNNNNNNNNNNNNNNNNNNNNNNNNNNNNNNNNNNNNNNNNNNNNNNNNNNNNNNNNNNNNNNNNNNNNNCGUCGUUGGCCUACUUGGAGAACAAAUAAGCAUUUUAACAUAAGGGCAUCACAAAAAAUCAGAAUACAAAAACUAUGUUAGGUCUGCAGUUUUUUUCAUGCAUCAUCUGAGUUUAGUGUACUUUUUGUGCAGCAGCAACCAGAAGCCAAAAGAACCCAAUACUGAACAAUCUAAAAUAAAAACAUGUCCACAAGCCUAAUAACAUUGAAAGUCUGAGUCCUACUACAACAGUUCAAACAAUCAAUAGUCAGAAGAGGCUAAUUAAGGUACUGGUAUAAGGUACUUAACUGGGUAUACACAAUAUCUAGGAUCAAAGAAUUUAGAUAAGAUGCCAAGGGUUCUUCACUCUAUAAAUGGAACUCACCUGAACACUAAAGCCAUGGUUGUCAUUGCAUAGCUCUAGACUAAAUAAUAAGGGCAAUACCAAAAGAUUUAUGCAUUAGUGCAUGAACUAAGAUAAAAUAAAAUAAGCCUAUAAUGAUGGUGUUACUUUCUUGCGCAAGCACCAAAACUUUGCCAAAAAGUAAAAUAUACUGGGAGCAUUGUACCUUUAUUUUCCCUAUAAUCCUUGCCCUUGCUUCUAGAUUAUAUGAUGGCGGUGCAAGCUAGCCAACAUCUUCAGAUUAGUCCAUCCAAAAAGCACCCCAAAGGUAACAGUUGGAUUGAUUGUGUCAUUCCUGAAACGUCAUUAUCAGAAAUUCAGUUGGUGCUUAAUAGUAAAUAAAAGUGCAGGACAUGCUCAUCACGCUUACCUAGGACUCAUAGGCCUUAUCUAAUCCCUCGCCAAAGCAAAUCAUCUAUUCUAUGUGAAAUAGGUAAGAGGUAGGCAAAAAUGCUAUAUACCAAAGAGUAUACGUCAAUCUAAACUGACGUACUGCUCACAAGAAACAGAGUAUGAUAACACGUCGUUGCUCACUCUAAAAAUAAAAUAAGUUGUUGGAAAGGAGGGGGGCUAUUUUAUUUAUACAGUUUAGUUUUGUGAUUUAGUGCAAAUAAGAACAUGUCCAAACCUGAUAGGCACGGCACCAAAGAGUAUACGUCAAUCUAAACUGACGUACUGCUCACAAGAAACAGAGUAUGAUAACAUGUCGUUGCUCACUCUAAAAAUAAAAUAAGUUGUUGGAAAGGUGGGGAGCUAUUUUAUUUAUAUAGUUUAUUAGUUUUGUGAUUUAGUAGCAGUACAAAUAAGAACAUGUCCAAACCUGAUAGGCACGGCAAUCUCAAAUCCAUGGGGUCAGUUUGGUUAGAUCAGGAUGAGCAGAAAUGAAAUGCACCAUAUACAUUUUCCAUGCAUCAACAUACAUUUUCAGUUUAAUCAAGACAUGUGUUAUUCUCUGAAUAUGAAAAUCACACGGCCAAUUUCUAAUAGUACCCUACUUUUUUCUGUAUGGCUCCUGUGAUUUUUGAGAGUGCAAACCGAUGAGAUUAGCUUAACUAAAUUGUCUCAGAAUCGCAUAGAGACUACAGCAGCAGCAAGAAAGUAUUAUGGUUUUCCCUAAAAAAAUAAAGCAUCAUGGUUAAACUUAUGCAGCUAUCAACGCCUGUUUUAAUGAAACAGAAUAAACUUAAAUUAACUACAGUCUCUCACAAUUCCAUUAAUUAGAGACUACAACAGCGGCAAGAAAGCAUCGUGGUUUAGGUUUUGCAACUACCAAAAUGUGAGCUCAUGCGAACAAAAGAUAGUAAAUUAUUCAGCCUAGCAUCAUGGUUCAGCAUACAAAAUUACCAAAUGGCAUCUUCAGCCAUGUCUUAUAGUUCCAGGAAAAAGAAUUACGAGAAAGUUCACCCAUUAAUGUGACUCAAAUUCAACUUACCACAAGGUUAGAGCAGUUAAUCGUCAUCCGCGUUGGCUUCGUUUGCUCGAUCAUUUUGCUCUACAGCAUUGGCUCUGUAUCUAGUUUCCUCUGUUUUGCUCCAGACUGCCUUUGCUUCUGAAGAUUGCAGAAAGGGCUAAGUGCAAUUGAAUAAAGCUGAAUAUAUUUCUGUAACGAUUUUUUCUAAAUACAAAAGCUACCCACUACAUACAAAGGAACCCCAAAUUCAUGCAAUCCCUCGUACAUAAGGAUAUAGAGAUAGAGUCAAUAAAAAUCAAUUGAUUUAACAACUUCUAUUUAUUUAUACUCCCAUUUUAUAAAUUCCAUUGUUGUUAACAACAUCUAUUUAUGUAUGCUCCCAGAUUCUCACCAACAAUCUAAAGCAUUGAGCCACUGCACCAUUCACUUGCAUUGCCACAUAGAUUAUUUAUUCAUGCAACAUCUAAACUCAAAGAACAUCGGACUGUAAAAGAAUUGAGGAGACAAGUAGACAACAACACAGACCAUCCAAUGCAGUCCUCAGGGGCUCUACCAACUCUGGGAACUCAAUCUCAUCAAGCGCUUUGAAGACGUCUUCGGCGUUGCUUGUCUGCAUCUUUCCUUCCUUGCACACAUCAUCUGACCUGCAAAUAAUUAAGAUCACACUCAUGUUACUAUCAUCAUCCAAAAAGCAGCACACCACAAGUAUAAGCAUAAUAUUAUUUAUACUCUCAGGCGGCUCUCCCCUCUACCAAACAGCAGAGCAAUUAGCUAAAAAUCUCAACUAUGGAAAUCCUAAACCAGCAGUGCUAACUAUAAACCCCCAAACAUUUCAUAUAAGCAUCAUAUUUCAAUACCUCUGUAACCUCUGCGCCGUGAAGAAUGAAAACUGCAGAAGCCUGAAGCUUUUCUUCAGAAAACUGAAAGUGUUAACACGCAUUCACUGAAAGUUUAGCUUCUCCUCAUUCUUCUGAAAAAUCAAAAUUAUUAGUGGCGAAGCUACUCUUCUCCAUUAACCACUCCGUGUUUGCUGCUGCUACAGAUAUGAACAAGUUCUUCCUUAGGGGAAAACAGUAUAUAUAAUAUUGUGCUGACCGUUUGUGAUGAUUCCGGUAUAUAUAGUAGUUAAUGGAUUUUGCCCUCAAGUUUGUUUGUCUCUUUUGCCGCUCUGCUCUAGUUGGGCGCGGCAUGCGCUCGAGUGUUCCCCUGUCCAUGUUUUUGUGGCACCGCUUGUGGUUGGUGCUUCAGCCUCAAUCUUUUUCUUUUGUGUCUAAAACACGAAUGACUUUUAUCGGCUAAAAUGCCACAUUGUGCAAGCCGUACCACUCUUGCUUAUAAUUAAUUUCAGAGGCAUUUGGCAAUGGCGUUUUGAUGCCAGUGAUGUCAGGUGUUCCAGCCACAGCCGACAGAGUACUACAAAGAAAAAACUCAAAUCCAUAACAAGAACUCAUUAUUUUAAAACAAACUCACAGGAGAAACUGGAUGUGGCUAGAGGAGGUGCCUCACCUUGAACUGGUGCUCAGAUCGCCGCCGCCUUGGCCGUGGAGGAAGCCCAGGCCUCUCAUGAUGGAUGAUGCCAUCGCCGAAUCCAGGCGUUGUCCGCCGCCGCCUUGUCCGUGGAGGAGGCCCAGGCCUCUCAUGAUGGAUGAUGCCAUCGCCGAAUCCAGGCGUUGUCCUUGUCCUCGCUUGUCUGUGAUGCGGCCAACUGCGGCCCUCCACUCCUUGGCAACGUGAGCGGCGACGGGAGCUUUGAUCUGGCUGCUUUUUUCCCAUGUUGUCAUCCUCCUCACCUCUUCCCGCUCCUCCACACCCACGCUGAAGACCUCAAAGGCCGCACUCUCCCAUGAAGGCAACCAACGGCCCAUCCAUAACCACCGUGUGUGCCAGCGCCGGAUCGAGAGGAGGAUAAAAGCGAAGGGGAAGCAAGGGGCGUGGUGGUGGCGGAGACUGGAGAGCAGGGAAAGGCGGCGGCGACGACGCGAAAGGGGAGGGGAGGGAAUGUGGGGCUCGAGGACGGGCUGGGAUUGGGGAUUAGGUUUUCACCGUGCAGCCCGGACAUCUCAUAAUUCAGCUACGUAAAACCAGAGCAAGUUCACAUCAUUCUCUGGACCUACACUUAACGAGGCCCAUCAGUCAUCCACCUUUGAAACGAGCACAAAGGUGCAAAAGAAUUGACGGUCCAGCGAUCGGCAGCAGCAAAAAUCAUACGAUAAUAACACGAUCGAACGGCUCACGCGGUGAAAAUCGCUCAGGGGCGCUAGAAUGGCGGGUAACGUAGCUGGGUUUAUAUGUUCAAUGAUCUGCCCUAUCACCUCAAGACUUGUUUGUUGUACCUAAGUGUCUUUCCAGAAGAUAACUGGAUCAACAAAAAUACAUUGAUAUGGCGGUGGGUUGCAGAAGGUUUCGUUAGCAAUAAACAAGGGAUAGGGUCAUUUGAGCAGGGGGAGAGCUAUCUGAAUGAGCUCAUAAAUAGGAGCAUGAUCCUGUGGAUAGAGCCAUGCCAUAGAGUCAAUGUAGGCCGUUGUCGUGUUCAUGAUAUGGUGCUUGAUCUCAUCCGUAGCUUAUCAAGUAAAGUAAAUUUUGUCACAAUACAUGAUGCAGAGCAUCACAGGAAAUGUUUGACAAUUAACAAUGCUCGAAGAUUAGCCCUCCAUAAAAUAAUUAUCGGGAACACCCUUAGCAUGGAAUUGGAACAAAUGAGGUCAUUUAAUGCUAGCAUGUGUCGUGAUAGUAGGAUGCCCUCACUUUUGAGGUUUAAAGUACUGCGUGUACUUGUUUUAGAGGAAUGUGAAUUUUUGGCGGGAGGUUGUCGCCUUGAGCAUGUUGGAAAGUUGGUUCACUUGAGGUACCUAGGACUGUUCGGCACACCUAUUGAUGAGCUCCCAAGAGAAAUAGGAAAGCUUAUGUACUUACAGUCGCUAGAUGUAAGGGAAAGUGGUAUAGAAGAGUUGUCCCCGUCUGUCGGUGAGCUAAACAAGUUGAUGUGCCUGCGUGCUUCUAAGGGCACAAGAAUGUUGGCAGAUGUAGGUAAGCUAACCUCAUUACAAGAGCUGCGACUAUUCUCAGUGGAUAAGGUUCCAAACUUCUUCAAAGAUUUAGGGAAGCUAACAGAGUUGAUGGUGCUUGAGAUCCAUUUUGACAAAAUGGAUGAGAGGGCUCACAGGGCUCUUGUGAAGUCUCUAUGCAACCUCCGCAGAAUCAAAACUCUGGAGAUAUAUUGUGACUCGGUGGAUAUAGAGGAGUGGCCUCAUCAUGGCGGCUGGGAAGAUUGGACGCCAGCACCUUAUGAGAUUCGUGAGUUGACACUGUCUGGCAUGGUUUUACCAAGAAGGCUGCCGUGGAUGGCUCCCUCGUGUGUCCCCCACCUAUCCUACCUGUUGUUCACAGCUCAGGUGGUGGAACAACAGGAUCUGCGGAUCCUCGGGGGUCUGCCAUCGCUUCGCUGCCUGUACAUCUCGAGUGUUGACAACUGCCCUCUGUAUACUGUUCUAGCAAGCGAUGAGUUCCAAAACUUGAGAUAUCUGAGCACCAACAUAGAUAUUAAGUGUGGGGAGGGAGCACUGCCUAUGCUUCAUAAAUUGGUAUGUGGCGCCAGCAUAGGAAUGGAAGAUAUUGGUUUGGUACCGGGCAGCAUGCCUUUGCUGGAGAAAGUCACCUACUGGCUAAAUUGCAAGAAUUGCAACGGUGAUGAGGUGGAGGAAACGGAGGCAAAGCUGAGGCACGCCACCAGGAUCCACCCCAACAGUCCCGCCCUUGCAAUACGAAGGCACAACUACAAGCACACUUCCUCUGGAACAUACAAGGACCAACAACAGGGGCUGCCAAGGUUAAUUAUUCAAUCACUCAAGCGUGUGAUACGUGAUGGUGGAGAGGUUUCGGCCACCGAUGAAGAGGUAUAUAUAUGCACAUAAUCAAACAUGCUUUUAUACGAUCCAUAUCUAUGCAUUGACACUAACAAUUUCAGCCGGAUGAUGGUGGCGCGCGCAAGAUAGCUCGUAUCGUCAAAGAGGAGGCAGCGGCAGCGCCGCCCAUGCUUAAAUCAUGUUGUUCCAUUAACAAGGUAUCCCCCACUCUGUGCGUUCUGUUCUGAUAGAUAUCCAUACGUUCUUGCGACUUCUCCUCUGGAUGAACUAGUAGAUCUGUUUAUAAUCUACCGGUACUGUAUAUAUUUUUUAUCAUUACUUUUAGUUCCUCCUUGAAAAAUAAGAUUUUAAUCCUUGUGGCUUUUUUCCUAUCAAGACUGUUUGGAUUAUAUGGUUGUUUGUUAUCAAGUUCUUAUCGAUUGCUUCUAUGUGCCCUUAUUUAGUAAAAGCUUCAACAUCUACUCCAUAUUCUGUAUUUAGUUCUGGCAACAUGGCAGGCUGCAUCUUGCUUCUUAUCUCUAGACCCUGCUUCCUAAUCCCUUCCUUAGUGGCUCUCCAUUCUCUUCCUCAUGCCCUCACCCACCUACAUUCUCUUUUAUCUGUUGAUAUGCAUUAAAGUCCUCUAAUGGAGGUGCUCUUUCGCUUCUACUCCCCCCGUCCCAUAAUAUAAGAGCCUUUUUUACACUAGUAUAGUGUAAAAAACGCUCUUAUAUUAUGGGACGGAGGAAGUAUCUAGCUGCCUUUCUUUAAGUUUGCCUCCUUGGUACUCUCCAAAUUCCCUCUGUUAAUGCAGGUUCUUCCCCUUUAGCUCUGCAGAUGACUGAUGACUCGAAACCCUUCCCCCUUUUGUGCAAAAGUUUGUUCCAGCUAGAUCAUACUCCCUCCGUUCCAAAAUAUUGGUCUUUCUAGAGAUUUCAACAAGUGACUACAUACGGAGCAAAAUGAGUGAAUCUACACUCUAAAAUAUGUCUAUAUACAACCAUAUGUGGUAGUCCAUUUGAAAUCACUAAAAGACAAAUAUUUAGGAACGGAGGGAGUAGAUGAUAAUGCUGUCAUGUUACGUGGUAGCAGAAAUAAAUACAUCCUUUUUCGUGCUUCAUGGAUUUUUUGUCGUUUUCUUGUUUUGCGGCUCAGUGUAAUUUACACGUUUUCCCCUCUAUGUAAGUUACUGCCAGCUAACGAUACCUGAACAUUUGUUCCAUGCUUCCUUUAUUUAUAUGGCUUAUAGCUAUGUCAUUACAAAUUGCUGAUUAUUUUGGGCUGAUAAUUGUGAGAAUUUUUGAAGAGCAUGCCUUCGUGAAUUGUUGUACUACUAUUUACCGUUUUGCUUACAGUUAAGUUAUUCAGUUUUAUGGACAAUUAGUCUAGUUUUAGGCAGUUUGCUUAAAUAUUGUCUCAGCAUAUCUCUCACUGCCAGUCUAAUCUGCACAUGUAUGGAAAUUGGUUUGACUGAUGCCAUAAUUGCCCUGCAGGUAUGAGAGUUACGUUCCGGCGGCUGAGAUGCAGAAGUGGCUUGGUUCAUGAGAUCCACACGGAAAUUUACCCUCUAUCUAGGAUGCAGUUGUCAGCUGUGAAGUGGACUCGUAGGAAUGAUCACUUAUUUUGCACAAUCAUGUCUUGUUAUCUGUAGUCAGUUGGCCAACUGACAUGACGACGUAAGACUUGCUUGUAUUAAUCAGUACCUUUCACUUGAUUUUGCUUGCUUGCAUUCUGGGCGUGUUCGUAUUUUCACAGUUUUCUUUUGAUUGAUUUUCCAUGUUGCAUCUGGCGAGGAGAAUUCCGCGUAAAAUUUCUGCUUUUUGUCACAUUUUGUGUGUUUGUUUUUAUGUCGUUCUGACUAAUCAAUGUUGAGUUGCUUGCUUUCACUGGGAUUCAGGGAGCCCUUGAGUGAGAUUGCUAAUGUGUUAACCUCUUAUGAAAUGUUUGAGAUCUGAAGAACUUCACACAUUUUAUUGACUGGUUCGGCAAUUACAGCCGUUCAACAUUAUACGAUCCCAUGAUCCACAGGCUAUUCAGCUCCUUAUUUUGCAGGUUGCUUGGCAUUAAACCUGGCCCCACCUCUUGAAGCACUCAACUUUACAAUCCGCAACGCCUUCCGCAUCUGCAAAAUGGCCAACGUGAGCACAAGAUCAUCAGCUAGAACAGACGAUUCUUCUUUUUUUGCAUUGUUAAUAAGAAUGCCUGUGAGAUGUUUCUGAUUUCCUACUCCAUGAACCCCUCGUAUGCCCACUGAUAUUAUGGCCUCUAUUAGUAUCAGAUAUAGCCAAUAACUGAUAUUCUAGCCUCUGUUUGUGAUGUUGGUUUCGUCUAAUAAUGCUGUGAUGAUUCAAAUUUGCCGAUCUCCAUGUUGGAUGAAUGGCAACUACAUUCACUCGAGGGCCAAAGGCCAAUACAUAUACAUGUGUAGGGUAAAGUGCAAGGGACCCCUUAUACAAUGGGGAUAAACCGAAAAGGGCUAUACACAUCUAACACCCCCCUCAAACUCAUGGUGGAUCAACAACACUGAGUUUAGAGAGAAGAAAACUAUGAUGCGCGCGAGUCUGAGCCUUCGUGAAAAAGUCCGCCAACUGUAACUCACAGGGCACAUAGUGAAGAGCAAGUGUCUGAUCUUGCACAGCGGCACGCACAAAGUGGGCAUCCACACCGAUGUGCUUGGUGAGCUCAUGCUUCACCGGGUCACGCGCAAUACUGAUAGCGCCAGUACUGUCUGACAAUAAGGGAGUCGAGGUAGUAGCAGACACACCAAAAUCCUCAAGGAUCCACCGUAACCAGAUCACUUCAGCCGUCAGCAUGGCCAUGGCUCGCAACUCAGACUCUAUACUCGAGCGAGAAACUGCAGUCUGUUUCUUGGUCUUCCAGGCAAUAAGAGAGCCACCAAGAAAGACACAAUAAGCAGAUGGCGAGCGUCGAUCAGAGGGAUCACUAGCCCAGGUAGCAUCUGAGUAGGCCUGGAGCUCAAGAGAGCUGGAGCGGGGAAAGAAAAGGCGCUGAGAGAUCGUGCCACGAAGAUAUCGUAGAACACGGAGGAGAUGACUAUAGUGGACAGAGGUGGGGGCUGAAACGAACUGACUCAGAAUGUGGACGGGAUAGGAGAUGUCAGGACGCGUAACAGCAAGAUAGACAAGACUGCCAACAAGGUGACGAUAGCGAGUGGGAUUAGGAAGAGGGUCACCAUCAGAGGCACGAAGCUGAACAUUGAGCUCCAUGGGAGUCACAACGGUGCGCUCAUCACCGAGAGCAGCACGAGCAAGGAGAUCCUGAAUAUAUUUUUCUUGGGAGAUGUAGAAGCCAUCAGAGGUCGAGGAGAUCUCAAUCCCAAGAAAAUAGCGAAGUGGACCAAGAUCAGUCAUGAGAAACUGGUCGCGAAGGCGAGCCUUAACAAAGGCAAUAUAAUCAGAGUCGUCACCAGUGAUGAUCAUGUCAUCAACAUAGAGAAGGAGAAGAGUCCGGCCAUGAGGAGAUGUGUGAACAAACAACGCGGGAACAUGAUCACUGGGCAAGAAACUAGCGGUGAUCACCACAGAGGCGAAGCGCUCAAACCAGGCGCGAGGGGCCUGUUUGAGACCAUAUAGGGAGCGGCGAAGUCUACAGACCAUACCAUCAGGAGCAUAGUACCCCGGUGGUGGCUUCAUAUAAACCUCCUCACGCAACUCACCAUUGAGAAAAGCGUUCUGAACAUCAAGUUGAGAGAUAGACCACUGGCGGACAGAAGCCACAGCAAGAAGAGUGCGGACAAUGGUCAUGUGGGCCACAGGAGCAAAUGUCUCACCAUAGUCGCGCCCCUGCUCCUGCUGAAAACCAUGGGCCACAAGACGAGCUUUGUAGCGCUUAAGAGAACCAUCGGAGCGAGUCUUAAGCUUGUAGACCCACUUGCAGGUGAUGGGACAGACACCGGAAGGGAGGGGAACCAGAUCCCAUGUGCCAGAACGCUCAAGGGCAGCAAGCUCUUCGGCCAUCGCAAGUUUCCAUUCAGGCUGAGUCAUGGCAGUGCGAUAGGAAGUGGGCUCAGUCAGAACAGAGAGACCGUACCGAUCAGGGGAGUAGCGAUCAGGCGGGGGGCGAGGCCGAGCAUGGAGGUUAUGAACCGGGGAGGCGUGGGAGGAGGUGCACCAGAGGUGGAAGGCUCGUCAGAGGAGACAUCCUCAGUACGAGAUCGACGAGUAUAGUGGAGAGGAAAUGGGGAGAGAGGCCAACGGAUUGGAGAAGAUGGGGGAGAGGUGGAGGAGGAGGAUGGAGGAGAUGGAGAAGACGGGGUCGGUGAUGAAUGAGAAGGAAUGAGAGGUGCCGGAGGAAGAGGUGACACAUGAGGCACAUAACAGGGUGUAUCGGGAAGAAGAAGGAAAGAAAGAUCGUCCACAGAAAAACGCGAGGAAGAAGAACGGGGAUAGUAAGAGCAAGACUCGUCAAAGGUCACAUCACGCGAGAUGCGCAAGCGACGACCCACUGGAUCCCAACAUCGAUAGCCCUUGUGCUCAUUACUGUAGCCAAGGAAAACACACUCAACUGACUGAGCAGUCAGUUUGGUGCGUUCUCGGGGGGCAAGAAGAACAUAGCAGACGCAUCCAAACAUACGAAGAGCUGAGUAGUCAGGAGAGCGACCAGUGAGACACUCCAUAGGAAUGCCACCCUGCAGAGCAGUCGAUGGCUGAAUGUUGAUGAGAUAGGUGGAUGCGGAAACAGUCUCAGCCUAAAAAUGGGGUGGAAGGGAAGCAGCAAUCAUCAACGCACGAGCCGUCUCAAGCAAAUGACGAUGCUUUCGCUCGGCAACGCCAUUCUGAGCAUGAGCACCAGGACAGGAGAACUGGGCAAGAGUACCCUGUUCCGCGAGGAAACCACGCAACAACUGAGAGAUAUACUCUCCAGCGGAGUCAGCAUGAAAAUUACGAAUGGGCGUGGCAAACUGGGUGUGAACCAUAGCAGCAAAAUGUUUGUAUAUAGGGAGAACCUCGCUACGAGAUUUCAUGAAGUAGAGCCAAGUGUAGCGAGAGAAAUCAUCAAUAAACAAAACAUAGUAGUGAUGACCACCUUUCGAAUCAAAGGGAGCGGGACCCCAGACAUCAGAAUGAACUAAGUCAAAAGGACGCUGAGAUACAGACUCACUAGUAGGAUAAGGUAACCGGGUCUGUUUUCCAAGUCUGCAACCAUUACAAUGUAAGGAGACAUCUCCACAUACAGACCCUAAGAGGCCCUGACGAACUAAGGAAGACAAGCGAGAGCCACAGAUGUGACCAAGUCGAUGAUGGCACUGCUGGAAGGACGCAGACGAAGAGGCAGCAAGAGCAUGAGAGCUGGCAGAAGUGGUGGCAGCGGAAGGAACACAAAGCCAGCCAACCUCCCAAAGGCCCUCUGACUCACGGCGCCGGGGGCCAGCACCAACCAAAGCCUUGGUGCGACGAUCCUGAAUGGAGCAAGAGUCGAUAUCAAGAAUGACAUGACAACCAGAAUCAGUAAGUUGGGCAGCGGAAAAAAGAUUCAUGGUAAGGCGAGGAACAUGUGAAACACUUGGAACAGAAAAAGAAGGAGUGGAAAGAAUACCACGACUAGCAACAGGAAGAGAUGUGCCAUCGGCAGUAAGAACAUUAACAGGCGAAUUAAGAGGCCGAAGAGAAGACAAGGCGAAAGAAUCAGAAGACAUAUGAAAGGAGGCUCCAGAAUCCAGAACCCACGAAGAUGUACCUGACUGUGUAGAUGCCUCUGAUGGUGAGGAGGAAGGGGCAGUCACAUCAGCAGCAGAGCCAGUCGACGAGGAGCCUGAGGAAGCCAGAAGACGCUUGAGGCGAACAAUGUCCUGGUCAGUGAGUGAUGGAGUCGAGGAUGACAUAGGAGGCCUGCUGGAGGUGGAGCGCCUCUGGUCUCGCUUCUUCUGGCGACAGUCAGACUCUGGGUGACCCGGCCGGGAGCAAUAACCACAGACGGUGUCAUGGCGCGACGUGCCCUUCUCAGCAUAAGGAGGACGGCUGACCCCCCCCUGGAGGAGUAGGCAGGAGUGGUGGAGCGGUGAGGCGAGCAGAUGACACAGGAGCUCGGACGGCUAGCACUGACGGAACCAGAAGCAACCCAGUAGAGCGAAGACGAGUCUCCUCAGCACGGAGCUCGGCAAGUACCUCCGAGAUAGGAACACGACCACGAGCAAGCAAGUGAGCACGUCGAGGCUCAAACUCAGACCGGAGACGAGAUAAGAACUCAUGAACCCGCUGAAACUCCAGAUCAGACCGAGUAGUCUGACAACAACGACAUGUUCCACAAACAACUGUCCGAAGAGAGUCAAGCUGGCGCCAGAUGGCAGAGCACUGUGAAUAGAACUCAUCAACAGAAGAAUCACCUUGCUGAAGUGCAUGCUCCUGAUGCACCACAGAUAGGUAAAGAGCAUCACCAGAGGGCUGAUAGCGCUGACACAGAUAAGACCACAUCGCUGCAACUGUGCUAAGUCCCAUGAACUCCGAAGCAAACUGAGGGAGAACACUCGCAGUGAGAACAGCAGCCGCUCGAGCAUCAUCAUUGCAACACUGAGUGUAAGCAGACAGAUCAUCCCGGUAGACAGUAAGAGCAUCAGAAUAGGCAGAUACCUGCUGAUCAUAAGUAGCAACUAUAGCAUCAUCAAGAGUCUUGGCUGCAUCACGAUCAGCCUGAGAAGUAUCAGGAGCAAUCACCGGCGGUGCUGGCGGAACAGGCGCCACCGGAGCAACAGGACACGGCGGACAUGGUACCUCGCCAGAAAGAACACCCCACAGCAGAAGGCCGCGCAUAUGAAUACGCAUGAAACCGGCAAACUCAGCAUAGUUGGUGCCAUCAAAGAUCACCGAGCAGCGAGGAACAGCCACAUAGCCCGAAGAUGACAUACUGAGGUAUCCCUUUGUGUUGUUUCUGCCCUUUUUUUGAAGUCAACAUGUACAGGAAAACCCAAUCUGGAUCGAGAGAAACACGAGCGCUCGCUCACGCCCUCGCUCGGGCAAUCGAGGCGAGCAGGGCCAGUGGCUUGAGCUCGAGCAAAGCGGGCGGGUUGGGGACCCCCGCUCGAAGCAGAGCAGUCGGGUGGGGAACCUCCGCUCGAAGCAGAGCAGCAGCCGAGCAGGCCCGAUGGGACAGCACCCAGACGGAGAACUCAAGCGGCGGCCUGCCUCAAGCCAAGCGGAGCAGGGGAGCACCAGCGGCCCGGCGGUAGGAGGCGCGGCAGCAGGGUGGAGCAGACCGGGGCGGACAGAGCCGCGGCGAGGAGGUCCAGGGCGGCCUGAUUCGUCGGGAGGAGAGCCAGGACGGUCAGAGCCGCAGCGAGAAGGUCCGGGGCGGCCGGUUUCUCGGAGAGGAGAGCCGGGACGGCCGGAUCCACGACAAGAAGAGCCGGACCUGGCUGUGGGCGAAUCGGGGGAGGAGCUAGCACGGAGUUGCAGCGUGCGGGAGAGAAGGGAACCUAACAUCUGAUACCAUGUUGGAUGAAUGGCAACUACAUUCACUGGAGGGCCAAAGGCCAAUACAUAUACAUGUGUAGGGUAAAGUGCAAGGGCCCCUUAUACAAUGGGGAUAAACCGAAAAGGGCUAUACACAUCUAACACUCCACAACAGUGAAACUAAUUUUUAUUGCUCGAGUCAUACAAAGUCGCAGAUAUCAAUUUGAUGGCUUUUCCAUGUCCUGCAGGUAUCAGAGUUACGUUUUGGUGGCUGAGAUGCAGAAGUGGCUCGUUUGAUGCGAUGCACACGGAAAUUUACCUUUAUGUAGGAUGCAGUGGUCAGCUGUGAAGUGGACUCGUAGGAAUUAAUCACUUAUUUGCUCAAACCCGUCUUGUUAUCAAACACAGUCAAUUGACCAACUGACAUGGAGACAUAAGAAUUGCUUGUAUUAAUCAGUACCUUUCAGUUGAUCUUUGUUUGCAUGCAUUCUGUGUGUGUGUGUGUGUGUGCAUAUUUUUAUUGUUUUGUUUUGCUUGCUGUUCCAUGUUGUCUCUGACGGAGAGAAUUCCGCAUCAAAUUUAAUUUCUGCUCCUGUCCCAUUUUGCGUGUUUGUUUUGUAUCUGGUUCUGACUGAUCAAUGUUGAGUUGCUUGCUUUCGCUGGAUUCAGGAAGGUUUCUGUGAGAUUGCUAAUGUUUUAACCUGUUAUGAUAUAAACAUGCCACUUUGAGAUUUGCAAAACUUAACACAAGUGAUGCGCCGACGCGCGGAAACACAUGUUGCUUCUCACGCACCUGCUGUUGUUGCUGCUGCCGAGGGCGUCCUCUGAAGCCGCCGCUGCCAUUAGAGGGAGAGGGCUGCCGGUCACCGCGGUCACCACUACGGUCGCGCCCCCUUCGUCCUCGCCCGUGAUAGGAUCUGUCACGGGAUGAGCCACGGCCUCUAUAGACUGCAUUAGCGGAUGUAUGAAACCCGCCUGAAGAAGAGUCGCCCAACAUCUCCAUCCUUUGAUCAAAGGCAGAGAUCUGAGCAAAAAGAUCAUCGGCGGUGAUGCUGUUCUUGACAGCGCCGAUCGCCGCCACCACGGAGUCGUAGUCGCGGUCCAGACCUGCAAGUAUCACUAGUAGAAAAGGGGGCAAUGGUCCAGGCCGGGUAAGCCCAUUAGUCCCGGUUCAAUCCAGAAACGGGACCAAUGGGGGCAUUGGACCUGGUUUGUGAGCCCCGAGGGCCGGCCGGGCCACGUGGGCCAUUGGUCCCGGUUCGACUGGACCUAUUGGUCCCGGUUGGUGGGACGAACCGGGACCAAUGGGCCUCGCUCCUGGCCCACCACCAUUGGUCCCGGUUGGUGGUGUGAACCGGGACCAAAGGCCACCCAAUAGUCCCGGUUCGUGGCACGAACCGGGACCAAUUAGUUGCCUAUAUAUACCCCUCGCUCGCGAGCAGAGCACUCUGAGUGCUCUGUUUUUCGUGGCCGGCGAGGGGAGAGCAUUGUGGUGCUCUAGCUCACCUCCUAUGUGUUGGGGAACGUAGCAGAAAUUCAAAAUUUUCCUAUGUGUCACCAAGAUCUAUCUAUGGAGAAACCAGCAACGAGGGGAAGGAGAGUGCAUCUACAUACCCUUGUAGAUCGCUAAGCGGAAGCGUUCAAGAGAACGGGGUUGAAGGAGUCGCACUCGUCGUGAUCCAAAUCACCGGAGAUCCUAGUGCCGAACGGACAGCACCUCCGCGUUCAACACACGUACAGCCCGGUGACGUCUCCCAUGCCUUGAUCCAGCAAGGAGAGAGGGAGAGGUUGAGGAAGACUUCAUCCAGCAGCAGCACAACAGCGUGGUGGUGAUGGAGGAGCGUGGCAAUCCUGCAGGAUUUCGCCAAGCACCGCGGGAGAGGAGGAGUACUUGGGAGAGGGGGAGGGCUGCGCCAGAACUUGUGGUGCGGCUGCCCUCCCACCCCCCACAUAUAUAUAGGGGCAAAGGAGAGGGGGGCUGGCCCCCUCAGAUCCAAUCCGAGGAGGGGGCGGCGGCCAAGGGGGGGAGGAGUGCCUCCCAAGUCAAGUGGAGGCCCUCCCCCUUAGGGUUUUCCCCUUCCCAUGCGCAUGGGCCUUGGGGGGGCUGGUUCCCCUGGCCCAUUAAGGCUAGGGCGCCCCCUUACAGCCCAUGCUUCUGUAUUGGACGUGGUGGAACAAUUUCCGGACCUCCGGACCCCUCCGGAAUCCUCCGGAACCUUCUGGAAGCUUCCCGGUACAAUACCGGAAAAACCCGAACUUUUCCCGGAACCCGAACAACAACUUUCCAUAUAUAAAUCUUUACCUCCGGACCAUUCCGGAACUCCUGGUGACGUCCGGGAUCUCAUCCGGGACUCCGAACAACAUUCGGUAAUAACAUACAAACUUCCUUUAUAACCCUAGCGUCAUCGAACCUUAAGUGUGUAGACCCUACGGGUUCGGGAGACAUGUAGACAUGACCGAGACGUUCUCCGGUCAAUAACCAACAGCAGGAUCUGGAUACCCAUGUUGGCUCCCACAUGUUCCACGAUGAUCUCGUCGGAUGAACCACGAUGUCAAGGACUCAAUCGAUCCCGUAUACAAUUCCCUUUGUCUAACGGUAUUGUACUUGCCCGAGAUUCGAUCGUCGGUAUGCCGAUACCUAGUUCAAUCUCGUUACCGGCAAGUCUCUUUACUCGUUCCGUAAUACAUCAUCCCAUGAUCAACCCUUUGAUCACAUUGUGCACAUUAUGAUGAUGUCCUACCGAGUGGGCCCAGAGAUACCUCUCCGUUUACAUGGAGUGACAAAUCCCAAUCUCGAUUCGUGCCAACCCAACAGACACUUUUGGAGAUACCUGUAGUGCACCUUUAUAGCCACCCAGUUACGUUGUGACGUUUGGUACACCCAAAGCGUUCCUAUAGUAUCCGGGAGUUGCACAAUCUCGUGGUCUAAGGAAAUGAUACUUGACAUUAGAAAAGCUUUAGCAUACGAACUACGAUCUUUGUGCUAGGCUUAGGAUUGGGUCUUGUCCAUCACAUCAUUCUUCCAAUGAUGUGAUCCCGUUAUCAAUGACAUCCAAUGUCCAUGGUUAGGAAACCGUAACCAUCUAUUGAUCAACGAGCUAGUCAACUAGAGGCUUACUAGGGACAUGGUGUUGUCUAUGUAUCCACACAUGUAUCUGAGUUUCCUAUCAAUACAAUUAUAGCAUGGAUAAUAAACGAUUAUCAUGAACAAGGAAAUAUAAUAAUAACUAAUUUAUUAUUGCCUCUAGGGCAUAUUUCCAACAGUCUCCCACUUGCACUAGAGUCAAUAAUCUAGUUCACAUCGCCAUGUGAUUAACACUCACAGGUCACAUCGCCAUGUGACCAACAUCCAAAGAGUUUACUAGUGUCAUUAAACUAGUUCACAUCAUCAUGUGAUUAAGACUCAAUGAGUUCUGGGGUUUGAUCAUGUUUUGCUUGUGAGAGAGGUUUUAGUCAAUGGGUCUGCAACAAUCAGAUCUGUAUGUACUUCGCAAUUCUCUAUGUCAUAUUGUAAAUGCUGCUUCCACGCUCCACUUGAAGCUAUUCCAAAUGGUUGCUCCACUAUACGUAUCCGGUUUGCUACUCAGAGUCAUUCAGAUAGGUGUUAAAGCUUGCAUCGUCGUAACCCUUUACGCCGAACUCUUUAUCACCUCCAUAAUCGAGAAAUAAAUCCUUAUUACUCCAAGGACAAUUUUGACCGCUAUCUGGUGAUCCACUCCUUGAUCACCUUUGUACCCUCUUGCCAGACAUGUGGCAAGGCACAUAUCAUGUGCGGUAUAUAGCAUAGCAUACUGUAGAGCCUACGUCUAAAGCAUAGGGGACGACCUUCAUCCUUUCUCUCUUUUUUCUGCCGUGGUCGAGCUUUAAGUCUUAACUUCAUACCUUACAACUCAGCCAAGAACUCCUUUGACUGAUCCAUCUUGAACACUUUCAAGAUCAUGUCAAGGUAUGUGCUCAUUUUGAAAGUACCAUUAAGCAUUUUGAUCCAUCCUCAUAGAUCUUGAUGCUCAAUGUUCAAGUAGCUUAAUCCAGGUUUUCCCUUGAAAAACACUUUUCAAAUAACCCUAUAUGCUUUCCAGAAAUUCUACAUCAUUUCUGAUCAACAAUAUGUCAACAACAUAUACUCAUCAUAAAUUCUAUAGUGCUCCCACUCACUUCUUUGGAAAUACAAGUUUCUCAUAAACUUUGUAUAAACUCAAAAUCUUUGAUCAUCUCAUCAAAGCGUUCAUUCCAACUCCGAGAUGCUUACUCCAGUCCUUAGAAGGAUCGCUGGAGCUAGCAUACCUUUUAGCACCCUUAGGAUUGACAAAACCUUUCUGAUUGUAUCGCAUACAACCUUUCCUUACGAAAACUGGUAAGGAAACUAGUUUUGACAUCCAUCUGCCAGAUUUCAUAAAUGCAGCUAAUGCUAACAUGAUUCCGACGGACUUUAAGCAUCGCUACGGAUGAGAAAAUCUCAUCGUAGUCAACUCCUUGAACUUGUGAAAAACUCUUCGCCACAAGUCGAGCUUCAUAGAUGGUGACAUUACCGUCCACGUCCGUCUUCUUCUUAAAGAUCCAUUUAUCUCAAUGGCUUGCCGAUCAUCGGGCAAGUCCACCAAAGUUCAUGCUUUGUUCUGAUACAUGGAUCCUAUCUCGGAUUUCAUGGCUUCUAACCAUUUGUCGGAAUAUGGGCCCACCAUCGCUUCUCCAUAGCUCGUAGGUUCAUUGUUGUCUAGCAACAUGACCUUCAAGACAGGAUUACUGUACCACUCUGAAGUAGUAUGCAUCCUAGUCACCCUACGAGGUACGGUAGUGACUUGAUCCAAAACUUCAUGAUCACUAUCAUAAGCUUCUACUUCAAUUGGUGUAGGCGCCACAGGAACAACUUCCUGUGCCCUGCUACACACUUGUUGAAGUGACGGUUUAAUAACCUCAUCAAGUCUCCACCAUCCUCCCACUCAACUCUUUCGAGAGAAACUUUUCCUCGAGAAAGGACCCGUUUCUAGAAACAAUCCCUAUUGCUUUUAGAUCUCAAUUAGGAGGUAUACCCAACUGUUUUGGGUGUCCUAUGAAGAUGCAUUUUAUCCGCUUUGGGUUCGAGCUUAUCAACCUGAAACUUUUUCACAUAAGCAUUGCAGCCCCAAACUUUUAAGAAAUGACAACUUAGGUUUCUCCAAACCAUAGUUCAAACGGUGUCAUCUCAAUGGAAUUACAUGGUGCCCUAUUUGAAAGUGAAUGCGGUUGUCUCUAAUGCCUAACCCAUGAACGAUAGUGGUAAUUCGAUAAGAGACAUCAUGGUACGCACCAUAUCCAAUAGGGUGCAACUAUGAUGUUCGGACACACCAUCACACUAUGGUGUUCCAGGCGGUAUUAAUUGUGAAACAAUUUCCACAAUGUCUUAAUUGCGUGCCAAAGCUCGUAACUCAGAUACUCAUCUCUAUGAUCAUAUCAUAGACAUUUUAUCCUCUUAUCACGAUGAUCUUCAACUUCACUCUGAAAUUACUUGAACCAUUCAAUAAUUCAGACUUGUGUUUCAUCAAGUAAAUAUACUUAGUAUCUACUCAAAUCAUCCGUGAAGUAAGAACAUAACGAUAUCCACUGUGUGCCUUAGCACUCAUUGGACUGCACACAUCAAAAAUGUGUUACUUCCAACAAGUUGCUAUCUAGUUCCAUCUUACUGAAAACGAGGCUUUUCAGUCAUCUUGCCCAUGUGGUAAGAUUUGCAUAUCUCAAGUGAUUCAAAAUCAAGUGAGUCCAAACGAUCCAUCUGCAUGGAGUUUCUUCAUGCGUAUACACCAAUAGACAUGGUUCGCAUGUCUCAAACUUUUCAAAAACGAGUGAGUCCAAAGAUCCAUCAACAUGGAGCUUCUUCAUGCGUUUUUAUACCAAUAUGACUUACAUGGCAGUGCCACAAGUAAGUGGUACUAUCAUUACUAUCUUAUAUCUUUUGGCAUGAAAAUGUGUAUCACUACGAUCGAGAUUCAAUAAACCAUUCCUUUAGGUGCAAGACCAUUAAAGGUAUUGUUCAAAUAAAUAGAGUAACCAUUAUUCUCCUUAAAUGAAUAACCGUAUUGCGAUAGACAUAAUCCAAUCAUGUCUAUGCUCAACGCAAACACCAAAUGACAAUUAUUCAGGUUUAAUACUAAUCUUGAUGGUAGAGGGAGCGUGCGAUGUUUGAUCACAUCAAACUUGGAAAUACUUCCAACACACAUCGUCAGCUCACCUUUAGCUAGUCUCUGUUCGUAGCUUUUAUUUCGAGUUACUAACACUUAGCAACCGAACUGGUAUCUAAUACCCUGGUGCUACUAGGAGUACUAGUAAAGUACACAUUAACAUAAUGUAUAUCCAAUAUACUUCUAUCGACCUUGCCAGCCUUCUUAUCUACCAAGUAUCUAGGGUAAUUCUGCUUCAGUGGUUGUUCCCCUUAUUACAGAAGCACUUAGUCUCGGGUUUGGGUUCAACCUUGGGUUUCUUCACUAGAGCAGCAGCUGAUUUGCCAUUUCAUGAAGUAUCCCUUGCCCUUGCCCCUUUUGAAACUAGUGGUUUCACCAACCAUCAACAAUUGAUGCUCCUUCUUGAUUUCUACUUUCGCGGUGUCAAACAUCGUGAAUACUUCAAGGAUCAUCAUAUCUAUCCCUGAUAUGUUAUAGUUCAUCACGAAGCUCUAGCAGCUUGGUGGCAAUGACUUUUGAGAAACAUCACUAUCUCUGGAAGAUCAACUCCCACUCGAUUCAAGUGAUUGUCGCACUCAGACAAUCUGAGCACAAGCUCAACGAUUGAGCUUUUCUCCCUUAGUUUGCAGGCUAGAAAAAUCGUCGGAGGUCUCAUACCUCUUGAUGUGGGCACGAGCCUGAAAUCCCAAUUUCAGCCCUCGAAACAUCUCAUAUGUUCCGCGACGUUUCGAAAACGUCUUUGGUGCCUCAACUCUAAAUCGUUUAACUGAACUAUCACGUAGUUAUCAAAACGUGUAUGUCCGAUGUUCGCAACAUCCACAGACGACGUUUGGGGUUCAGCACACUGAGCGGUGCAUUAAGGACAUAAGCUUUCUAUUGUUCGCAUAAUCGCUACUGUCAACUUUCAACUAUAUUUUCUCUAGGAACAUAUCUAAACAGUGGAACUAAAGCGCUAGCUUACGACAUAAUUUGCAAAGAUCUUUUGACUAUGUUCAGGAUAAUUAAGUUCAUCUUAUGAACUCCCACUCAGAUAGACAUCCCUCUAGUUAUCUAAGUGAUUACAUGAUCCGAGUCAACUAGGCCGUGUCCGAUCAUCACGUGAGACGGACUAGUCAUCAUCGGUGAACAUCUUCAUGUUGAUCAUAUCUACUAUACGACUCAUGCUCGACCUUUUGGUCUCUUGUGUUCCGAGGCAAUGUGUGUACAUGCUAGGCUCGUCAAGUCAACCUAAGUGUUCCGCGUGUGUAAAUCUGUCUUACACCCGUUGUAUGUGAACGUAAGAAUCUAUCACACCCGAUCAUCACGUGGUGCUUCGAAACGACGAACUUUCGCAACGGUGCACAGUUAGGGGGGACACUUUCCUGAAAUUUUAAUGAGGGAUCAUCUUAUCUACUACCGUCGUUCUAAGCAAAUAAGAUGCAUAAACAUGAUAAACAUCACAUGCAAUCAAAUGGUGACAUGAUAUGGCCAAUAUCAUUUUGCUCCUUUUGAUCUCCAUCUUCGGAGCUCCAUGAUCAUCAUCAUCACCGGCAUGACACCAUGAUCUCCAUCAUCAUGAUCUCCAUCAUCGUGUCUCCAUGAAGUUGUCUCGCCAACUUAUUACUUCUACUACUAUGGCUACCGGUUAGCAAUAAAGUAAAGUAAUUACAUGACGUUGUUCAAUGACACGCAGGUCAUUCAAUAAAUAAAGACAACUCCUAUGGCUCCUGUCGGUUGUCAUACUCAUUGACAUGCAAGUAGUGAUUCCUAUUACAAGAACAUGAUCAAUCUCAUACAUCACAUAUCAUUCAUCACAUUCUUCUUGGCCAUAUCACAUCACAAAGCGUACCCUGCAAAAACAAGUUAGACGUCCUCUAAUUAUUGUUUGCAUGUUUUACGUGGCUGCUAUGGGUUUCUAGCAAGAACGUUUCUUACCUACGCAAAAGCCACAACGUGAUAUGCCAAUUGCUAUUUACCCUUCAUAAGGACCCUUUACAUCGAAUCCGAUCCGACUAAAGUGGGAGAGACUGGCACCCGCUAGCCACCUUAUGCAACAAGUGCAUGUCAGUCGGUGGAACUUGUCUCACGUAAGAGUACGUGUAAGGUCGGUUCGGGCCGCUUCAUCCCACGAUGCCGCCGAAUCAAGAUUGGACUAGUAACAGUAAGCAUAUUGAACAAAAUCAAAGCCCACAACUACUUUUUGUUCUACUCGUGCAAAGAAUCUACGCAAUAGACCUAGCUCAUGAUGCCACUGUUGGGGAACGUAGCAGAAAUCCAAAAUUUUCCUACGUGUCACCAAGAUCUAUCUAUGGAGAAACCAGCAACGAGGGGAAGGAGAGUGCAUCUACAUACCCUUGUAGAUCGCUAAGCGGAAGCAUUCAAGAGAACGGGGUUGAAGGAGUCGUACUCGUCGUGAUCCAAAUCACCGGAGAUCCUAGUGCCGAACGGAUGGCACCUCCGCGUUCAACACACGUACAGCCCGGUGACGUCUCCCAUGCCUUGAUCCAGCAAGGAGAGAGGGAGAGGUUGAGGAAGACUCCAUCCAACAGCAGCACAACAGCGUGGUGGUGAUGGAGGAGCGUGGCAAUCCUGCAGGGCUUCACCAAGCACCGCGGGAGAGGAGGAGUACUUGGGAGAGGGGGAGGGCUGCGCCAGAACUUGUGGUGCGGCUGCCCUCCCACCCCCCACAUAUAUAUAGGGGCAAAAGAAAGGGGGGCCGGCCCCCUCAGAUCCAAUCUGAGGAGGGGGCGGCGGCCAAGGGGGGGAGGAGUGCCUCCCAAGUCAAGUGGAGGCCCUCCCCCUUAGGGUUUUCCCCUUCCCAUGCACAUGGGCCUUGGGGGGGCUGGUUCCCCUGGCCCAUUAAGGCUAGGGAGCCCCCUUACAGCCCAUGCUGCUGUAUUGUACGUGGUGGAACAAUUUCUGGACCUCCGGACCCCUCCGGAAUCCUCCGGAACCUUCUGGAAGCUUCCCGGUACAAUACCGGAAAAACCCGAACUUUUCCCGGAACCCGAACAACAACUUUCCAUAUAUAAAUCUUUACCUCCGGACCAUUCCGGAACUCCUCGUGACGUCCGGGAUCUCAUCCGGGACUCCGAACAACAUUCGGUAACCACAUACAAACUUCCUUUAUAACCCUAGCGUCAUCGAACCUUAAGUGUGUAGACCCUACGGGUUCGGGAGACAUGUAGACAUGACCGAGACGUUCUUCGGUCAAUAACCAACAGCGGGAUCUGGAUACCCAUGUUGGCUCCCACAUGUUCCAUGAUGAUCUCAUCGGAUGAACCACGAUGUCAAGGACUCAAUUGAUCCCGUAUACAAUUCCCUUUGUCUAACGGUAUUGUACUUGCCCGAGAUUCGAUCGUCAGUAUGUCGAUACCUAGUUCAAUCUCGUUACCGGCAAGUCUCUUUACUCGUUCCGCAACACAUCAUCCCGUGAUCAACCCUUUGAUCACAUUGUGCACAUUAUGAUGAUGUCCUACCGAGUGGGCCUAGAGAUACCUCUCCGUUUACAUGGAGUGACAAAUCCCAGUCUCGAUUCGUGCCAACCCAACAGACAUUUCCGGAGAUACCUGUAGUGCACCUUUAUAGCCACCCAGUUACGUUGUGACAUUUGGUACACCCAAAGGAUUCCUACUGUAUCCGGGAGUUGCACAAUCUCGUGGUCUAAGGAAAUGAUACUUGACAUUAGAAAAGCUUUAGCAUACAAACUACGAUCUUUGUGCUAGGCUUAGGAUUGGGUCUUGUCCAUCACAUCAUUCUCCCAAUGAUGUAAUCCCGUUAUCAAUGACAUCCAAUGUCCAUGGUUAGGAAACCGUAACCAUCUAUUGAUCAACGAGCUAGUCAACUAGAGGCUUACUAGGGACAUGGUGCUGUCUAUGUAUCCACACAUGUAUCUGAGUUUCCUAUCAAUACAAUUAUAGCAUGAAUAAUAAACGAUUAUCAUGAACAAGGAAAUAUAAUAAUAACUAAUUUAUUAUUGCCUCUAGGGCAUAUUUCCAACACUAUGCACACGAGGUGUUUGAUGGAAUGCCUGAGCCACACUACUUAAGCUUUCUCCUCUCCAAGCUCGACCUCCAAGCUCCAUUUUCCUCAAUAUUUGUCUAGGUUUAGCGGUCCGUCACGUCCCGUCCCCGUCUUCACCGCCGUCGAUCGCCCGCGCCGAUCUCGUCGCCGGCACCACCGUGGUGAGCCUCUUGUUCUUAUCUUCUUUCUGAAAGGAAAAAAAUUCUUACUUGUAUGUUUAUAUAGAUACUUGUAUAAUUUUCUUACUUUUAUUAUUGCAUCUUAUAUAGUGCGAUGGUUUUGGUAUCCGCCCCCGUCAGCCCUCGUCCUGUCUAUGAUUCGGAUGUGGUAUAUAUUAUCUUUUCAUAACUAUUGGUUCAUUUAUUGUUUAUGACAAUUAUGCCGACCAAUGUGACAUAGAUUUUAUUUAUCUAGGAGGUUGUUGAACCGGAAAUUCCAACCGACCCUAUUGUCGAGAGGUUAAAUUUAGUUGAAGAAGAAAACAAUUUGUUGAAGGAAAAACUUAGAAAAAUUGAGGAGGAGAAGAUGAUAUUGGAGUUGCAUGUUGCGGAUGUCGUCGAUGAUCAAAAGAUCAAGAUGGAUGCAAUGCGCUUGAAGAUUAGAAAGAUUAGAAAAUAUGCCAUUCAUACCGAGGCUUGGUAUCAUUAUGUCGUUGGAUCAGUUGUUACAUUGGUUGCGAUUAUGAUCGCAUUUGUCUUCGCAUUGAAAUGUUUUACAUAAUUUCAAUUCAUGGUUUAAUUAAUUUAGAUGCUCUGCAGAGCUUUAUGUUGUUAGAUGAGAACUAUGUAUGUACUUUGGUUUUAAUGUGAUGAUGAACUUCUAUUAAUUUGGUCACUUAAUUAUCUAUUCAUGAUGUUCUGUAAUGAUUUUUGAUGCACUUAAUUAUAUAUAAUGCACGCAGAUGAACCGACAAUGGAUGUACGGUUCAAGACACACCUCCAAGUACAUUAAGGGCAUGCAUGAUUUUCUCGAAGUGGCUGAGGCAAACAAGCAGAAUGGUUUUAUGUGUUGUCCAUGCCCUAUAUGUGGGAAUACGAAGUCUUACUCUGACCGGAAAAUCCUCCACACCCACCUGCUUUACAAGGGUUUCAUGCCACACUAUAAUGUUUGGACGAGGCAGGAAGAAAUAGGGGUUAUGAUGGAAGACGGCGAAGAAGAAGAGUACGAUGACAACUAUGUGCCCCCUGAAUAUGGUGAUGCUACUGAACAUCAAGAGGAACCAGACGAUGUGCACGAUGAUGCUGCAACGGGCGAAGCUGCUGAAGAUCAAGAGGAACCAGACGAUGUGCCCGAUGAUGAUGAUCUCCGCCGGGUCAUUGUCGAUGCAAGGACGCAAUGCGAAAGUCAAAAGGAGAAGUUGAAGUUCGAUCGCAUGUUAGAGGACCACAAAAAAGGGUUGUACCCCAAUUGCGAAGAUGGCAACACAAAGCUCGGUACCGUACUGGUAUUGCUGCAGUGGAAGGCAGAGAAUGAUGUGCCUGACAAAGGAUUUGAGAAGCUACUGAAAAUAUUGAAGAAGAAGCUUCCAAAGGAUAACGAAUUGCCCGACAGUACAUACGCAGCAAAGAAGGUCGUAUGCCCUCUAGGAUUGGAGGUGCAGAAGAUACAUGCAUGCCCUAAUGACUGCAUCCUCUACCGCGGUGCGUACAAGGAUCUGAACGCAUGCCCGGUAUGCGGUGCAUUACGGUAUAAGAUCAGACGAGAUGACCCUGGUGAUGUUGACGGCGAGCCCCUCAGGAAGAGGGUUCCUGCGAAGGUGACGUGGUAUGCUCCUAUAAUACCACGGUUGAAACGUCUGUUCAGAAACGGAGAGCAUGCCAAGUUGAUGCGAUGGCACAGUGAGGACCGUAAGAAAGACGAGAAGUUGAGAGCACUCGCUGACGGGUCGCAGUGGAGAAAAAUCGAGAGAAAGUACUGGGAUGAGUUUGCAAGUGAGCCAAGGAACGUAUGGUUUGCUUUAAGCGCGGAUGGCAUUAAUCCUUUCGGGCAGCAGAGCAGCAAUCACAGCACCUGGCCCGUGACUCUAUGUAUGUAUAACCUUCCUCCUUGGAUGUGCAUGAAGCGGAAGUUCAUUAUGAUGCCAGUUCACAUCCAUGGCCCUAAGCAACCCGGCAACGACAUUGAUGUGUACCUAAGGCCAUUAGUUGAAGAACUUUUACAGCUGUGGAAUGGAAACGGUGUAUGUACGUGGGAUGAGCACAAACAGGAGGAAUUUAACCUAAAGGCGUUGCUGUUCGUGACCAUCAACGAUUGGCCCGCUCUUAGUAACCUUUUAGGACAGACAAACAAGGGAUACCACGCAUGCACGCACUGUUUACUUAACACCGAUAGUUUAUACCUGGCAAGCUGCAGGAAGGAUGUGUACCUGGGCCAUCAUUGAUUUCUUCCGACCAACCAUCAAUGUCGAAAGAAAGGCAAGCAUUUCAAAGGCGAGGCAGAUCACCGGAAGAAGCCCGCCAUGCGUACCGGUGAUCACGUACUUGCUAUGGUCAAUGAUUUACACGUAAUCUUUGGAAAGGGUCCCGGCAGACUAGCUGUUCCGAGUGACGCUGGGGGACACGCACCCAUGUGGAAGAAGAAAUCUAUAUGUUGGGACCUACCCUACUGGAAAGACCUAGAGGUCCGCUCUUCGAUCGACGUGAUGCACGUGACGAAGAACCUUUGCGUGAACCUGCUAGGCUUCUUGGGCGUGUAUGGGAAGACAAAAGAUACAACUGAGGCACGGGAGGACCUACAACAUUUGCACGAAAAAGACGGCAUGCCUCCAAAGCAGUAUGAAGGUCCUGCCAGCUAUGCUCUUACCAAAGAAGAGAAGGAAAUCUUCUUUGAAUGCCUGCUUAGUAUGAAGAUCCCGACUGGCUUCUCGUCGAAUAUAAAAGGAAUAAUAAAUAUGUUAGAGAAAAAGUUUCAGAACCUAAAGUCUCAUGACUGCCACGUGAUUAUGACGCAACUGCUUCCGGUUGCAUUGAGGGGGCUUCUACUGGAAAACGUCCGAUUAGCCAUUGUGAAGCUAUCUUCAUUCCUCAAUACAAUCUCUCAGAAGGUGAUCGAUCCAGAAAUCAUACCAAGGCUAAGGAGUGAUGUGGUGCAAUGUCUUGUCAGUUUCGAGCUGGUGUUCCCACCAUCCUUCUUCAAUGUCAUGACGCACGUCCUAGUUCAUCUAGUUGACGAGAUUGUCAUUCUGGGCCUCGUAUUUCUACACAAUAUGUACCCCUUUGAGAGGUUCAUGGGAGUCCUAAAGAAAUAUGUCCGUAACCGCGCUAGUCCAGAAGGAAGCAUCUCCAUGGGCCAUUAAACAGAGGAUGUCAUCGGGUUUUGUGUUGACUUCAUUCCUGGCCUUAAGAAGAUAGGUCUCCCUAAAUCACGGUAUGAGGGGAGACUGACUGGAAAAGGCACGCUUGGAAGGGAAUCAAUAAUAUGCAGGGACGGAUAUUCUUGGUCUCAAGCACACUACACAAUUCUACAGAACUCUACCUUGGUGACCCCGUAUGUCGAUGAACACAAUAACAGACUGCGCUCCAAACACCUGGAGCAGUGCGACGACUGGAUUACAUGUGAACACAUCAGGACUUUCAGCAGUUGGUUGGAAGCACAUAUCAGAGGUGACAACACUAUUUGUGAUGAGCUGUACUUGUUGUCCAGGGGACCAUCUUUGACUGUAUUGAUUUGGAAAGGAUACAAGAUAAACGGGAAUACAUUUUACACGAUUGACCAAGAUCAAAAGAGCACCAACCAAAACAGCGGUGUCCACUUUGAUGCAACAACCGAGAGGGGAAAGGACACACAUUAUGGUUACAUAGUGGACAUAUGGGAACUUGACUACGGACAUGAUUUUAAGGUCCCUUUGUUUAAGUGUAAAUGGCUCAAUCUGUCACGAGGAGGGGUACAGGUAGACCCACAGUACGGAAUGACAACAGUGGAUCUGAAAAAUCUUGGGUACACUGACGAAUCGUUCGUCCUAGCCAAUGAUGUGGCAUAGGUUAUCUAUGUGAAGGACAUGUCUACCAGACCGAGAAAGAGAAAAGAUAAGGAAGCGAAUACAUCAUACGAUGAGCCAAAGCGCCACGUAGUUCUUUCAGGAAAAAGGGACAUCGUGGGAGUGGAGGACAAGACAGACAUGUCUGAAGAUUAUGAAAAGUUUCAUGAAAUUCCUCCCUUCAAAGUCAAGGCUGACCCCAGCAUCCUGAUAAACGAUGAAGAUUAUCCAUGGUUACGGCGCAAUAAGCAAAUGACACAAGCGAAGAAAAAGUGAAGACUUUCUCCCGCAAAUAUUAUGAUGAUACCAUGCCAACUUUGUAACAGACGAGUAUGAUACCAUUAUCCGUUUUGUAUAUGCACAUGCUAUGUGGGUCAAUUUAUGAUACCAUGCCAACUUUCAACUUUUUCAGAGUUCAUUUGAAAUGCUUUAAUGUCUUAUGGUUCGGCCCUCGUAAUAAUUAAAAAUAGCAACAAUAAGUAUUUUGUUGUAAGUAGAAACAAAAUAAAAUAAAUAAAGCAAGAAAGAAAACAAAAAAACAAAAAAAGUGUUUUCAAAUUUGAAAACUAAUGGCACUAACANNNNNNNNNNNNNNNNNNNNNNNNNNNNNNNNNNNNNNNNNNNNNNNNNNNNNNNNNNNNNNNNNNNNNNNNNNNNNNNNNNNNNNNNNNNNNNNNNNNNNNNNNNNNNNNNNNNNNNNNNNNNNNNNNNNNNNNNNNNNNNNNNNNNNNNNNNNNNNNNNNNNNNNNNNNNNNNNNNNNNNNNNNNNNNNNNNNNNNNNNNNNNNNNNNNNNNNNNNNNNNNNNNNNNNNNNNNNNNNNNNNNNNNNNNNNNNNNNNNNNNNNNNNNNNNNNNNNNNNNNNNNNNNNNNNNNNNNNNNNNNNNNNNNNNNNNNNNNNNNNNNNNNNNNNNNNNNNNNNNNNNNNNNNNNNNNNNNNNNNNNNNNNNNNNNNNNNNNNNNNNNNNNNNNNNNNNNNNNNNNNNNNNNNNNNNNNNNNNNNNNNNNNNNNNNNNNNNNNNNNNNNNNNNNNNNNNNNNNNNNNNNNNNNNNNNNNNNNNNNNNNNNNNNNNNNNNNNNNNNNNNNNNNNNNNNNNNNNNNNNNNNNNNNNNNNNNNNNNNNNNNNNNNNNNNNNNNNNNNNNNNNNNCAAGUAGGCCCGAAAGCCUGCGGUGGAGAGGAGCUCGAGAGGGGUGCGGCAGUGGGGCUUAUAAACCACUGCGCGCCCCUCUCAACUAGCGAGGUGGGACUAAACUUUGGCCCCGAGGCGGGCAGCACAGGGGCCUUUGGUCCCGGUUGGUGGCACCAACCGGGACUAAAGGGGGAGGCAUUGGUCCCAGUUGGUGGCACCAACCGGUACUAAAGGCCGCCGGUUCCCGCCCUUUGGGCUGCCGAAAAAGAGGCCUUUGGUCCCAGUUGGUGGCACCAAUCGGGACUAAAGGGUGCAUUAGUCCCGGUUGGUGCCACCAACCGGGACUAAAGGGUUUUCUAUAUAAGCAACACUUAGCAGUUUCUGGCCAAAUCGCCCACUUCUCCCCCGACGCCCCCUGCUCCUCCUCGUCGCCGUCGCCGCCCGACGCCCCUGCUCCACCUUGCCGUCGCCGCCGCCACCGACGCCGUCAGGCUGCUCGCCUGAGCCGUCGCCGCCGCCCCCUGUGAGCAUNNNNNNNNNNNNNNNNNNNNNNNNNNNNNNNNNNNNNNNNNNNNNNNNNNNNNNNNNNNNNNNNNNNNNNNNNNNNNNNNNNNNNNNNNNNNNNNNNNNNNNNNNNNNNNNNNNNNNNNNNNNNNNNNNNNNNNNNNNNNNNNNNNNNNNNNNNNNNNNNNNNNNNNNNNNNNNNNNNNNNNNNNNNGCGCCGCCGCCCCUGCCUUGCGCGGCCGCCGUGCGCCACCCCGCCGCUCCUGCAAUUUCCAUAGCAAUUUUUUGCAUUUUUUUGUGUAUAUGUAUUUGUAUGUGUAUAUAUAUAUGUGUACAUGUUCAUAGUAUUUUUUUCAUAAGUGUAUUUUUUUGUUCAUUGCAUUUUUUUCAUAUAUAUAAUGUAUAUAUGUAUGUGGUAGCUAUAUAUAUGAUGAAUGGAUGUGGCUAUAUAUGUAUGUAUGAAUAUAAUGUUCAUAGCAUUUUUUGUUUAUAUAUGUUUUUUCAUAUAUGUAUUAAUAUUUUAUUUAGGUUGUUAGUAGAUAUCGAUUUUAGGUUAGUGCAUUUUAGGUUAGUGUAGAGGAGAAAGUAAAAUAAGGAAAAGGAAGAAAAGAGGAAGAAGGAAGAAGGAAGAAGAAGAAGAAAAAGAAUGAGAGGAAAAAGGAAAAUAAGAAGAGGAAGAAGAGGAGAGGAAGAAGAGGAGAAAUAAAUAAGAAGAGGAAAAAAGAAGAAAAAGAAGAGGAGAAGAAGAAAGGAAUAGAGGAGAAGAAGAAAAAAUAGAAAUUGUUUUCUAUUUUUUCUUCUUCUCCUCUAUUCCUUUCUUCUUCUCCUCUUUUUUUUUCUUCUUCCUUCUUCCUUCUUCCUCUUUUCUUCCUUUUCCUUAAUUAUUUUCCUUUCUCGUCAUUGUCAUGUCGUUGUCGAUAUAACCCCCUUGAGAUAACUUCGACAUGAGGGGCGGUCGAUAUAUAUACCCCCUCUCGACCGUGAUAACUUAUACAACGGCAGCACCCCCCCUCGGCCCACUCGCUCAACCAAAACUCUCGAGGACACACAAACCCUAGAGAGAAAACGAUGUUGGUCUCCUACCCCCUCCCGCUGCGCCCCUACCCGACAAAUUAACUCUCUCGAGGCCACCCAAAUUUACCAAGUUAAAAGAGCGUUGUCGUCGAGGCCACCCCAAACCCUUGAAGCGUUGUGUCGAGGCGACCCCAAACCCUAGAGAAGCAGCGUCGAGGCCACUAACAUGAUUCCUUAUUGUGACUAGCUAGCUAGUUCUACGUUUGCCACUAAUGUAUAUAUAUAUAUCCAUCUGUACCAUGUUUGAAUAAUAAUUGACAUGUUGUAAAUAUUUGCAGAAACUAUGGAGCACUCCCGAGACGAAGAAACAGAAGCGAUGUUGGGGGACAUAAUCGCAAAUGGAAGUGAUGAAGUUGCAUCAUUUCUCCUCGACAUCGAUGGACAGCUAGAAGAACUGGGUGAAGAAGAGGGCUAUGUUCAUGAUGGCUUCGGCCCAUUAAUGCCGGUACAAGAAGAGGACUAUGUUCAUGAUGGCUCCGGUGACACAAUGGAGGUACAAGAAGGAGACCGUGCUGACUGCUCUGGUGACCGAACCGAGUCAGGCCAGGUAUAUAUAUAUUAGUUAAGCCCGUGCUGACUAGUUAAUUGAUGCUUCCAUUGUUUUGGUAUAUGUACACAUAUUAAUUACUCUCGUCUUUCUUCCUUAUAAUUUCUAGCCCUCCGGAUCGAACACAACUUCGGUAAGGAGACGAGGCCCGAAGAAAAAGUUGAGCUCGGAUGAAAAGUUUGAGAUCAUAGAAAUCACGCCCGACGGCGAACCGAUUGAACCCAUCCGGACAAGGAAGGCAUUUUCUGCUCAGUGCGGGGUUCUUGUUAGGGACAAGAUCCCGAUCAGCAUCCAGCAACGGUAUAAGCCUAAGGAGGAAGACCCUGAGGUGUCUUCUGUCAAUGAUAUGCAGAAAGAAGAUCUUUGGACUGAGCUGAAGGCAAAUUUCACCCUACCGCCAGAGGAGGAUCCAGAGAAGCCAGUUAAAGAGCCAUUAAUCAAGUCUUGUGCUCUUAAGAAGAUGGCAACCCUAAUGAGGAGGUGGAGGAAAGAGCUGAACCAGUUUGUCAAAAAAAAGACACCAGAAUUCAUCGGCAAAUAUGAGAAGAUCAAAGAUCACUGGCCCGCAUUUGUGGCCCACAAGACAUCGGAAAAGAGUAAGAAGAUGUCGGUGACAAACAAGAAAAAUGCUGCAAAGAAGAAGCUUCACCAUCGCACGGGGUUAGGUGGCUACCUCAAAGCGCGGCCUAAGUGGUCCAAGGCUGAGCAUGAUCUGCUCCGGCGCGUCGUACUCCUUCUCCUCCGCCUCGUAAGCAAGCACGAAAGAAGACAGACGCCGCAGCCGCUCCGUCUGCUCCGACGUCUAGCAGCACAACCAGAGGCGGGAGGCAAUACAAAUACGGUCCAUCUCUCAAGCCUCUAGAGAAGUUACCGUAUGAGAGGUCCGAAGAGGAAAAUGAUACGAUUGUGCGGACCCAUGUGAAGGAUUUCUUUGAAGGGGUGAAAGCAAAGAGACAUCCACCUCCGAAGGAGAAGGUAGAUCCGGUGAAAGCAAAGCGCACUAUCGAUGCCCUGAGGAAACCACCAAAGUCUCCGCCGAGAACCAACUAUGAGCGCAUUACUGAACAGACAUAUCUCCAAGCCCAGCGGUAGGGAACUACUGUCAGUGAUAAAAGGUUAAAAGAACGAGCAAAGGGGAAAAAAUUGCCCAGCUCGGCGAACAAGCACAGCAAUCAUGCCCCCCGCUCAAUGUGUCUAAUGCUUCGGGGACGGUGGCCGGUUAUGAAAAUCUUGAAGAUUACCUGCCUGACGAUGCACUUCCUGAUUUCAUGGCGGUGGACGAACACAGAUACGAGUACGGAAAGCCUCUCGUCAAAGAUGAAAAAUCUCUGACAACAAUGAUGCGAAGAUUCCAUAGUUGGUACAUGAAAACCUGCAGAGAGUCUGAGGCGACGAACAGUUUGUAUCUGAACAUUAAAGAGGAGCACGACCUCGUUUCAAAUGAUCUGUUGUGUGUUCCAUUUGAUGAGUUCUUUCUUCAAUCAAAAGGCCCUCGAUAAAUUAAUGGUCUUUUGCUACUGCCUGUAAGUACUAUUUCUGUCAUUAAGUCUCUAUAUAUAGCUCUGCUCUUUCAUUGCAUGUAUUUAUAAUUAAUUAUCCUCAAUAUAUUAUGCAGAUUGAAGAUCGUCGAGUGCAAAAAACAAGAAAUUUAUGAUAUUGGGUUCAUUAACACAAAUAUCAUAGAUGUAUUUCUGGUUGAAAAGAACGUCAAAGAGGCCGAGGACAACUUGCUACGAUCGUUGAUCAAAAAUCAAAACAAAGAUAACAUACUCUUUCCUUACAACGGCAAGUGAGUGUUACUGUCGUGUAAAUAUUCGGUUUCCCUUAUUACUCGAGCGAGGUUAUAGUAAUGUAAUUGAUGAGUUAUGCAUGCGUGCGCAGGUACCACUAUAUUCUUCUGGAGAUUAAGCUUGAGCGGGGACUAGUAACCGUCUUAGACUCGAGAUGUAAAGAUCCCGAAACCUAUGCGGACAUGACUGAAAUGCUCAGCAAGUAAGUUCAAUCGAUCAUUAUCGCACCAUAUCGGCAACUUUUUGUUCAUUUCCUGAUAUCUCAAGUAAUAAUAAUUAUUUUCUUUGUCUUGCAGGGUUUGGAAACAGUUCACCGCAGAAGCUCCGGGACUGCCGAAGGAGCUGCGAUAUACAUACCCGAAAGUAAGUACUACUGGGCUAGCUAGUUGCGCGCAUCUCCCGUUGAUUCUAUAGCUAUACUUUCAUCAAUGCCAUUUAUAAUGCUUCAUUAUUAGUUUGAUUGACCUCUAUUUCUCGUAAAAUGCUUGUGGCAGGAGGAAGGGAAUGAUUUCUGUGAAUACUACGUGUGUGAGUUCAUCCACACUACGACUUUGAAAAACAAACGGGGCUAUUCUAAAAGACAAUAUGAAGUGCAUAAGCAAUAAUAUUCACAAUUUCAUUUUAUUACACCAUCAUUUCUGUUGAGUUUCAUUCAUAUAUGUAUUAAUUAACCCCUUUCUUCAAAUUAGACGUGGCAGAUGCGGAAUGAACUCCUAGAACCAGAUCGCAUGAAAGCAAUUCAAUAGGAAUUAGCGGGAUUCUUUCUUGACCACGUCAUCAGUAAAGCCGGAGAAUACCAUGUGGAAAUUGAUUUCAAAUGCUAGGGGUUUGUAAUUAAGAGAUCUUAUACAUAUUGUACAUGUGUGUAGCCAGUAGCGUCGGAUACAUGAUACGAAAACUUGUUGUUCGACCAAUCUCUCAGAGAAGGAGAGGUCGAUCGAUCACUUCUCUUGGUAUGCAUGACGAACUUCUGUACUGAAUGGUUCUCUCGAUCACUUAUGUAUAUAUAGUAUGUAGCGUCGAUCAAGCAUGGACAUAAGAGAGGACACUUCUCUCUAUUAAUUAGCUAGCUAACACAAUAUAUGAAACACCUAAAUUAACCCCCCAAAACACCCAACCCCCCUCCUUUCAAAAAAAAUAAAAACCCCAGCCACUGGAAUGCUGACGCGUGGAUGCAUUUUGGUCCCGGUUGAAGCCACCAACCGGGACCAAAGGCCCCCUGACUGGGCUCGGCGCACAGGGCCACGUGGAGGCAUAUUGGUCCCGGUUCGUGUUUGAACCGGGACUAAUGGGUGGAGGUAUUAGUAACGACCCAUUAGUCCCGGUACAUGAACCGGGACUAAAGGCCCUUACGAACCGGGACUAUUAGGUGUUUUUCUACUAGUGUAUGUAGUCCACCAUCUCCGGAUCAGAGACGGGACGGCCAGUAGCAGCUAGUUCAUCCCCGAGACUCUUCAUCUUCGCCAUGUAUGCUGAACUGGACAUGGUGCCUUUUUUGGUGUUGGUGAUCGCAAUCCUCAGAUUGGUAAUCCGAGACUGCGAUUGUGAGGCGAAGAGGUUGUUGAUUGUUGUCCAGAGCUUGAAGGUGGAGUCCCUCCCGACGACCUGUGCAAGGAUCUCAGGAGACAUGGAGUUGAGCAGAUAUGACAUAACCUGUUGAUCUUUGGCGAUCCAAGGUCCAUACAAAGGAUUCGGCUCUUGGGCCGUAGUUUUGUCCGCCUUUGGGACCUCCACCAUCUUCGGCGGAGCGGUGUCAGAGUGGUCCAGCAGCCCGGUAACCUGCGCACCUCGCAGGGCUGGGAGAACCUGCGUCUUCCAGAGGAUGAAGUUUCCUCUCGCAAGUUUUUCCGACGGAGGCGAACCAAGGUUCAGGGCAACGCCGACUGAGGAAGCCAUGACGGCGAUCGCGGAUAUGAUCUAGGGUUUUGUUUUCUGGUUUGUGGCUAGAUGUAUGGAAGAGGGGCUCUGAUGACCAUGUAAAGUUAUGAAGCGUUCCUACUCCCAUCGAGGGGAGCCGCAGCUGUAUAUAUUGAUGUGGGCAGGCGAUGCCUUGGUUUACAAGAUAGAGUUACAAGAGUUUGAAAGGGAUACAAGAAAGGAAGAGGUUGAGAUUACAUAAACUCUAACACACAGAUAUUUUAGCCUCUAUUGGGAUCAGAUAUAGCCAAUAACUGAUAUUCUAGCCUCUGUUUGUGAUGUUGGUUUCGUCUAAUAAUGUUGUGAUGAUUCAAAUUUGGCGAUCUCCACAACAGUGAAACUAAUUUUUAUUGCUCGAGUCAUACAAAGUCGCAGAUAUCAAUUUGAUGGCUUUUCCAUGUCCUGCAGGUAUCAGAGUUACGUUUCGGUGGCUGAGAUGAAGAAGUGGCUCGUUUGAUGCGAUGCACACGGAAAUUUACCCCUUAUGUAGAAUGCAGUGGUCAGAUGUGAAGUGGAUUCGUAGGAACUAAUCACUUAUUUUGCUCAAACCCGUCUUGUUAUCGAACGCAGUCAAUUGGCCAACUUACAUGGAGACAUAAGAAUUGCUUGUAUUAAUCAGUACCUUCCAGUUGAUCUUUGCUUGCAUGCAUUCUGUGUGUGUUCAUAUUUUUACUGUUUUGUUUUGCUUG